This 301-nucleotide ribosomal RNA is filed under the name uncultured bacterium. RNAcentral describes it as "partial 16S ribosomal RNA". It matches the Rfam family "Bacterial small subunit ribosomal RNA", at positions 509 to 807 of the family's 1533-position model. The record is from RNAcentral.
CAGCCGCCGCGGUAAUACGUAGGUGGCAAGCGUUGUCCGGAAUUAUUGGGCGUAAAGGGCUCGCAGGCGGUUUCUUAAGUCUGAUGUGAAAGCCCCCGACUCAACCGGGGAGGGUCAUUGGAAACUGGGAAACUUGAGUGCAGAAGAGGAGAGUGGAAUUCCACGUGUAGCGGUGAAAUGUGUAGAGAUGUGGAGGAACACCAGUGGCGAAGGCGACUCUCUGGUCUGUAACUGACGCUGAGGAGCGAAAGCGUGGGGAGCGAACAGGAUUAGAUACCCCCGUAGUCCCUGUCUCUUAUAC